Molecule: long non-coding RNA, 245 nt
Filed under: Actinidia chinensis (golden kiwifruit)
Lineage: Eukaryota; Viridiplantae; Streptophyta; Magnoliopsida; Ericales; Actinidiaceae
Description: long non-coding RNA (ACHI_LNC000074)
Source: RNAcentral
UCAUGUUGUUGGCGCCUCGAUCCAAGCGUGGAGGGUGUUAAAGGAAACCUCACCGUGCAAGUCAACUUAUGCCCCCUAAUGUGCCUCGGGAUCGUAGCCGACCAUUGCGUCUCGACAAAGCGCCAAUGCAAAGACCCGCCAAGCUUGCUAUAAAGUUACAGUCCAAUAGCGGUGCUUGCCCCAGCUCGGUCAGAGUUGGUACUUGGUACUUUAUCUCGUUACAAUUGCCACUUAGUUCGCAUGAG